CAUAUUUAGGUGCAUUACGUGUGAAGACAUGAUUAUGUUGGAGCUUUAAGACUAACAUACAUAUUGUACUUCUUCAUUGCCUUGGUUACUAUGACAAGUCUACCCUAUGGAGAAUGGGACUAGAGGAGUUUAUUGGGUAGGAACAGUUGACCUCAAGAACGUUUCGCAACAUAAAUCCUUCAUCUGGCUCUAUGUUUAGAGACAGAGGCAGUAUUUUU
RNAcentral lists this long non-coding RNA (218 nucleotides) under Lathyrus oleraceus (garden pea). Its description in RNAcentral is "Pisum sativum (pea) long non-coding RNA (PSAT_LNC025429)". Lineage: Eukaryota; Viridiplantae; Streptophyta; Magnoliopsida; Fabales; Fabaceae. The record is from RNAcentral.